UAUAUAUAUGUAUAUAUAUUAGGGCUUGUAGAUAUAUAUAUGUAUGUUGUAUAUAUAUUAGGGCUUGGGAUAAACAAGAUGGGUUGAAUGCUUGAAAAUGUUGGAAUUAGGGCUUUUGACAAUCUCAUAAACAACUUGAAUCUUGGAUUUUGGCCUUUUGAUUUGGGAAUUGAGUAUACUUUACCUUACCUACCACCUGCUCGAUGAAAUUUCUCUACCAAAUUUUCCACUCAUUCAUAAAUUAUUCUAUUCAUUUGGAUGUCAAGUUCAAGUGUCAAUGUGGUGGCUCAGAUCGGUUGACAUACUUGAACAAAAAUUGUCCAAGAUGUAAUAAAACGGCCACUAUUCGAAUUUCGAGACCGAUCGAAACAAAAACAAGUUAUUCUAUUCUUGCAUUGAUUGUGGUAGUUUUAUUGGAUGGUGCCUUCCUAUCAAUUCACAAUGUAGAGGCCAUGAAAUUUCAAGACAAGCACAAGGAGAAGUGCCAACUGUCGGCGAACAACUUCAAUGUAUGACCGAACAACUUUGAUCUAUGACCGAACAACAAAGAUCGAUGAUGAAACAACUUCGAAUUCAGAGCACAAAGAAGCAAUAUGUGUUGUUUGUGUUGCUUGUUAUUGGUGCCUUAUUACUUAUGAAGAUGUAAUAAUAUUUAUAUAUAUAUAUAUAUGCAACUAAGAAGUAGAAGUAGAAGUAGAGUGAACACUAUUGUAUGGUACUGUGAUGUUUUACACCCAAUAUGUAUUGUACCUUUUUUGACUUUUGUUGACCUCCAAUAUUGGUUAUGUAUUGCAUGUGUUUGCCAUUUGAGGUGCUGUUGAAUAUUUGAUGUUAACAGAUUGAUAUUGAAUAGAAUGAAAAGUUUCAGGUCCUUCUGCAUGUUAA
Molecule: non-coding RNA, 885 nt
Organism: Camellia sinensis
Lineage: Eukaryota; Viridiplantae; Streptophyta; Magnoliopsida; Ericales; Theaceae
Source: RefSeq, a predicted model, not a curated record